RNAcentral lists this ribosomal RNA (468 nucleotides) under uncultured bacterium. RNAcentral describes it as "partial 16S ribosomal RNA". It matches the Rfam family "Bacterial small subunit ribosomal RNA", at positions 28 to 507 of the family's 1533-position model. The record is from RNAcentral.
GACGAACGCUGGCGGCGUGCUUAACACAUGCAAGUCGAACGGAAAGGCCCUGCUUUUGUGGGGUGCUCGAGUGGCGAACGGGUGAGUAACACGUGAGUAACCUGCCCUUGACUUUGGGAUAACUUCAGGAAACUGGGGCUAAUACCGGAUAGGAGCUCCUGCUGCAUGGUGGGGGUUGGAAAGUUUCGGCGGUUGGGGAUGGACUCGCGGCUUAUCAGCUUGUUGGUGGGGUAGUGGCUUACCAAGGCUUUGACGGGUAGCCGGCCUGAGAGGGUGACCGGCCACAUGGGGACUGAGAUACGGACCAGACUGCUACGGGAGGCAGCAGGGGGGAAUAUUGCACAAUGGGCGGAAGCCUGAGGCAGCAACGCCGCGUGCGGGAUGACGGCCUUCGGGCUGUAAACCGCUUUCGCCUGUGACGAAGCGUGAGUGACGGUAAUGGGUAAAGAAGCACCGGCUAACUACGUG